Pecten maximus is the source of this 3200-nucleotide long non-coding RNA. RefSeq lists it as uncharacterized. NCBI's taxonomy places the organism in Eukaryota, Metazoa, Mollusca, Bivalvia, Pectinida, Pectinidae. The record is from RefSeq and is a predicted model, not a curated record. The transcript is spliced from 6 exons.
GAUGACCCAUUGUCUAGUUUGGGAACCAAUGGGAAAAUAUUUUAUAUAGACCUCUAGAUAAACCCUCGGAGAAAACUUUCCCCAGGGUGGGAACAUCACAGUUUCAAGUGACACUGACGGCAGAGAUUUUGAGAUCUCAGGGAAAAUAACAUUAGACCAGUUCUAGUUGGACAAUACUAUCCUUAUGUAUUGAUAUACAUAUUUUAGUCAGAUGACCUUGGUUGAAAUAAUUUAUUAGAUCUACCAAAGUUAAAAAAGUAAUGAUUUUCUCAUAGGCCUAUCUGGGAACAGAGACAUUUCCCAUUUUUGGGAGCAAGUAGGGUUUUUCCCAUAUUGGGAACAAAUAGCCUAUAUACCAAACUUUACUCUUUUUGAUGUAUUUAAUUACCUUUUAUGUUCAUGUGCUGAGUAUGAUAAGCGUAAAUUAAAAGCCUGCAAGUCCUGUGAUGACUAUCGCCUUUUCUUUGAUGGUCACGUAGAAAAUUUGGAAUUCAAUCCAUUGGGAGAAAGUCGAUAUAUAUUCUCUAUUCCGGGCAAAAGUGAGACCAACGCAGAGGACAUCUGUGGGAUUAUAUGACCUUUGGAUUUGUUUGGGAAAGGAACACGGAAAUGCUUCCAGAAUAAAGCUCAGAAAUAAAAGAAAAUGUACCACUGACAUCAUAUCAACACAAAGUAGAAUGACCACAUCAGAGCCAUCUCAACACUCACAACAGGAAAUGGUUUCAAGUAAUUUAAAGAUGCCAAGGAAUGGGGAGGUUCCAAAAUGUUUGUCAAAUGGGGAACAAAAAACAAAGCUGACUUUGCAGCAAAAGAACAGACAGGAUACUGGUGCAGCUGGCACCACUUCUUGACACGGGGCACCACCACUUCCUGACCCAGGGCACCACCAUUUCCUGACCCAGGGUACCACCACUUCCUGGCCCAGGGCACCACCACUUCCUGACCCAGGGCACCACCACUUCCUGACCUGGACCUAGAUGUUAAAAUGGACAUUUUGAAGAAGAGCCAUGCCAGUCUCUGUCCAAGAAACCAAAAUUAGAGAAAACUCAAGGUAUGUGACCUGGGAAGAAUUUGAAAAACUGAAAAAUGACUUCUUGAAACUGAAGAAGAAAAUGGAGAAGUAAAAAACCUUAGAACCCAUGCAAGUUUCAAGAAAGGCCAGCCAAACACACCACCGUGAACCAACAACACCAACAACACCUAGAACAUCACAGCAGACAGACUCGACAAGGAUAUCCCAAUCAACACCAACACCACAGCAGACUGAUACAACAAAGACAACAGAACAAACAUCAUCAUCAUCAUCAUCAUCAUCAUUAUCAUCAUCAUCAUCAUCAUCAACAGACAUACAGACAUACAAUGGUCACACAUUGAGUGACUUGAUGGAUAUGGUGUGCCACAAAGAUAAUCUUUAUGCGUGUUGUGCACACCAUAUUACUGGUUCUGUUUCCAGUAAAUUAUAUUGUAUCACACAGUGUGACAGGACAGAGGACAAACAGUCAUUGUGCUGCCAAACCCAAAUUUGAUGGUCGGCUUUACAACAUUUUCCUCGCUGUCUUGGGGUGUAGAGGGGUGUUAUGAGUACAUGUACUUUAAAAAAAAUAAUGCCAUUGAAUUAGAUUUCCAGAGCAAAUAAUGAAGUGAUUUUUAUUGGUAUGUUUUGUCAAAUCUUAUUAUCUAAGAUAUUUUAGAAUUAUACAUGCAUGUCCAUUGUGUAAUUUUAUUGUUUUCAAUCUGUGCUAACAGUUGUAUAUUAUUUUAGAAAGAUCCUUUUUUUCAAGACGCUACUUUUGCUUUUGAUGUUUGCUAUAAUAAUGAAAAAAAUGUACAUGUAUGCAUGUACAUUGUACAUAGUUAAUCAUGUGGCCUUACUGUUCUCCAUAAAGGUACUGUAUUGUUUUUUUUUUAUUAUAAUUGUCAACCAACUCUCAAGUACAUUAGACUUUUUACAACUAUAAGGUUAAACCAGGUCGACCAUGGUUAAUCAUGGUUUGACCAUGGAUAAUUAGACCAUGGUCAAUCGUGGUCAACCAUGGUCACGGUUCGCAGGGGUCAGUCCUUUGUAGUUUGACUUGAAGCAGUUUACAGGUUUAUGAGGAGUUGACUGAAAAAAAUUCCCCCUACACCCAAAAAACAAAGUAUAGUGACCUGGUUACCAUGGUAACCACAAAAUUACAACAUGAUCUAGAUAACGCUCAUCUACAAUGUGUAAAAAACAAAAGAGGUAAACCAUCAUAUUUAUUAUUGCAUACAAUCUCUCAUGUAAGGGACAUAACUCUGGUCUUGUCCUUUAUUAAAUUAUCUCCCUUUGAUUGUUUCACACUGGUCUGUAAGUGUUGUUCAGUUUCAGACAGAGUUGCUACAAUUAAGCCAUUUGCUUUUCAAAGUAGACAAGUUGGCAUACAUAUUCCACAAUGUUGUCUCCUUAUUCUGAAAUGUAUUAAGCUGAUUGUACACAUUAGCAUUUAAGCAUGACUAUGAUGUUACUUAUUUCACUUUUUAAUUUUUGUGCUUUUAAUCUGUUGCCUAAAAAGUACAUGUCAAAUUAAACUAAACUUGGUAUAAAUGUAGUUAGAUCACACAGUGAAAAUCUCAACAACACAGCCUUCAUUUAUAGAAUAUCUUCCAGAAUCUAUGGAACAGUGACUCUGGAAAUUAAGAUUGCUGGGAAUCUAGAAAUUUUUGGUUCUUAAUGUGUUCAUAUCCUGAUCAGUUUCUCAAAAAGUAUCAAUGUUACUUCUACCAAACUGGAAUAUAGUUGUAUUGUUGUAUGAACAUCUUGACACACCCUACAUAAUACAUGAAUUUUGGGGUUAAAAAUGAAAUAUUUAUCUGAAUUUUGAGAAUUUGUGAUUUUGUAAUAUUGUCCAAUAUUUAUUUUGCAAUGCAUCAAUAUUUACUCAUGUCUAUGAUAUGUAGAGAGUGCUUCCAUGCUAUGUGGAAAUGUUUUGGAAAAAGUACUGGAAUUUCAGUGAAUUUUGGAGUUUGCCUAAAACUUGACAUUUUAAUUAGCCUCUGUCUUGACACUGCUAUAAUAAUGUGUAAUUUCUUUUGUCUUUGUUGUUUUGUGAAACAUCACUAUCCGUGUAUUUGAUAUUUUUUUAGUUUGGAACUAUUUCAACUGUUUACACUAUAAGACACAUGAUUUUGGAAUUAUAUGUAAAUAUUUAUACAUUUAUUAAUACCAUUGUUAACAUGUU